UUAAAUUGAAGAGUUUGAUCAUGGCUCAGAUUGAACGCUGGCGGCAGGCCUAACACAUGCAAGUCGAACGGUAACAGGAAGCAGCUUGCUGCUUCGCUGACGAGUGGCGGACGGGUGAGUAAUGUCUGGGAAACUGCCUGAUGGAGGGGGAUAACUACUGGAAACGGUAGCUAAUACCGCAUAACGUCGCAAGACCAAAGAGGGGGACCUUCGGGCCUCUUGCCAUCGGAUGUGCCCAGAUGGGAUUAGCUUGUUGGUGGGGUAACGGCUCACCAAGGCGACGAUCCCUAGCUGGUCUGAGAGGAUGACCAGCCACACUGGAACUGAGACACGGUCCAGACUCCUACGGGAGGCAGCAGUGGGGAAUAUUGCACAAUGGGCGCAAGCCUGAUGCAGCCAUGCCGCGUGUAUGAAGAAGGCCUUCGGGUUGUAAAGUACUUUCAGCGGGGAGGAAGGGAGUAAAGUUAAUACCUUUGCUCAUUGACGUUACCCGCAGAAGAAGCACCGGCUAACUCCGUGCCAGCAGCCGCGGUAAUACGGAGGGUGCAAGCGUUAAUCGGAAUUACUGGGCGUAAAGCGCACGCAGGCGGUUUGUUAAGUCAGAUGUGAAAUCCCCGGGCUCAACCUGGGAACUGCAUCUGAUACUGGCAAGCUUGAGUCUCGUAGAGGGGGGUAGAAUUCCAGGUGUAGCGGUGAAAUGCGUAGAGAUCUGGAGGAAUACCGGUGGCGAAGGCGGCCCCCUGGACGAAGACUGACGCUCAGGUGCGAAAGCGUGGGGAGCAAACAGGAUUAGAUACCCUGGUAGUCCACGCCGUAAACGAUGUCGACUUGGAGGUUGUGCCCUUGAGGCGUGGCUUCCGGAGCUAACGCGUUAAGUCGACCGCCUGGGGAGUACGACCGCAAGGUUAAAACUCAAAUGAAUUGACGGGGGCCCGCACAAGCGGUGGAGCAUGUGGUUUAAUUCGAUGCAACGCGAAGAACCUUACCUGGUCUUGACAUCCACAGAACUUUCCAGAGAUGGAUUGGUGCCUUCGGGAACUGUGAGACAGGUGCUGCAUGGCUGUCGUCAGCUCGUGUUGUGAAAUGUUGGGUUAAGUCCCGCAACGAGCGCAACCCUUAUCCUUUGUUGCCAGCGGUCCGGCCGGGAACUCAAAGGAGACUGCCAGUGAUAAACUGGAGGAAGGUGGGGAUGACGUCAAGUCAUCAUGGCCCUUACGACCAGGGCUACACACGUGCUACAAUGGCGCAUACAAAGAGAAGCGACCUCGCGAGAGCAAGCGGACCUCAUAAAGUGCGUCGUAGUCCGGAUUGGAGUCUGCAACUCGACUCCAUGAAGUCGGAAUCGCUAGUAAUCGUGGAUCAGAAUGCCACGGUGAAUACGUUCCCGGGCCUUGUACACACCGCCCGUCACACCAUGGGAGUGGGUUGCAAAAGAAGUAGGUAGCUUAACCUUCGGGAGGGCGCUUACCACUUUGUGAUUCAUGACUGGGGUGAAGUCGUAACAAGGUAACCGUAGGGGAACCUGCGGUUGGAUCACCUCCUUACCUUAAAGAAGC
RNAcentral lists this ribosomal RNA (1556 nucleotides) under Shigella sonnei. RNAcentral describes it as "bacterial SSU rRNA". It matches the Rfam family "Bacterial small subunit ribosomal RNA". Lineage: Bacteria; Pseudomonadati; Pseudomonadota; Gammaproteobacteria; Enterobacterales; Enterobacteriaceae. The record is from RNAcentral.